GAGAGAAAAGCAAAUAUCAGUGUUUGGGAAAUGUUCCAGAGCUAGAAAAUGAAGAAGUACAUGGCUGCCAUUUCUUUGGUCCUUUUCUGGUUUGCAAUAUUCUCGCAUUCUAUAGCUGAUCAAGCCUUCGAUGUCCGUCAACACCUCUCCACUGUAACAGGAUAUGGUGCUGUGAAAGAUGUGGGUUGUGUUUCCCUUGAAAAGUCUAGUAUUCAUGAGGGGUGCACUCCUAUCCACUUAAACCUUGUGGCAAGACAUGGAACUCGUUCUCCAACAAAAAAACGGAUGAGAGAGUUGGACCGGUUGGCAUCUCAUUUGGAAGGACUUAUAAGAGAUGCCAAGGAACAGAACUUAUCUUUGCAGAAAGUUCCGACCUGGUUACUGGGUUGGGAAUCUCCUUGGAGAGACAAAUUGAAAGGUGGAGAAUUGAUUAGCAAGGGAGAAGAUGAAUUAUAUGAUCUUGGAAUCAGGAUUAGGGAAAGAUUUCCAGAUUUGUUCAAGGAGGAAUAUCACCCUGAUGUGUACCCAAUAAAGGCGACACAAGUUCCUCGAGCAUCAGCUAGUGCUGUGGCAUUUGGCAUGGGUCUGUUUAGUGAGAAGGGAAGCCUUGGACCAGGGCAUCAUCAAGCUUUUGCAGUCAGCAGUGAAAGCCGUGCAAGUGAUAUAGUGCUUAGGUUUUAUGAUUGUUGUGAAAGCUACAAGGUAUGUGUGUGGUUUGGCUUUUUAGUUGUCAUUGUUGAUUGUGUUUGGAUUCAAAUACACAAUUCUUAAAUCCCAAGUUGAUGAGCUUUAUACAUUCUUAUUUAAUCUGGCUGCUUGAACUCUAAAUUUCUAUGAUGUCAGAAGAAGAGAAUAACUACUACUUGUCGGGUUCAUUUUUCAUGGCUUUCUCUCAGUCUUCCCAUUUUUUGAGCCCAAAACCAUUUGCUUCAAUAGAGCAGCAUUUUCCAUGCUUUGGUCCUUUUGGAACCUUCAACUCAAUCUAAGUAAUGCCUCCUAUCUUUGUUAUUGUUGUUGUGGUGUGGUUAUUUUUAGUAUUAAUUGGAUUGUGUUGAGAACAAUCUUGGAUGACUUUUCCCUUUCAUGUUUCACUUUCUUUCACCUCAUAUUGUACUAUUGGACAAAAUUGAACUGUGAAAUCACUUUAAUGAAUGGCUACUAUGAUUUUCUGGUGCUAGAAUUUUUUUUUUCUAAAUAUAGAAUUAUGGGCACUGUAAUUCUGAAUUCUGGGGGAUGUUCUUUUCUUUUUGUUAAGGAAGUUGCUUUGAAGUGUGUCUUCCUUUAACAGAUGCUUUUGAGAUUUACUUCUUAUUUUUUCCAAUCAUUUUUAAGUUAUUGAAGUGAGACGGAUUGGGAAUUUGUGAAUUUGGCAAUUUACAUUCCUGGUGCAUUGAUCUUUUGUCAUUUGAUUUCCUAUAAAUGCUUCCCAUGGAUGUAGGAUUUUAGGAAAAGCCAAGAGCCAGGUGUCGAUAAGCUUAAGGAACCUAUUUUAGAUGAAAUUACAGCUGCAAUAGUGAGCCGUUACGAGCUUAAUUUUACAAGACAGGACACUUCUUCUCUAUGGUUUCUCUGUAAACAGGAAGCAUCCUUGUUGGAUAUAACAGAUCAAGCGUGUGGUCUAUUCAGUCCUUCUGAGGUAGAUCAGAUUUAACUUUUUUUUUAUUUUGCUAAUUUUUGUUCUUGUUUCUGCAGGGGUUAUUCUGAUGACAAAUCAAUAUGCUGUGUGAAACUAUGCAGACAGCAAAUCUUGUGUGUGUCAUUAACACAACAUUUGUUGAGCAUGAUCAUUUUGUUACUUCUUAAUUUUUGGUGCUUUACGUUGGAUGGCUAAAAGGUUAAAUGCAUGGUUGAUUAGCUUAAGAAAAUGAGUGUUGGCUAGUAUGCAAUGGAUAAUCUUUAUUAGGGAACACAGGAAUGCUAGUCAGAAAAUUCAAGUUACAAAUCAUGCUUGUUUUCAUUCUUUUAUGGAUAUUGACUUGCAAAAAAUUUCAAUGAUUAGGUGGCUUUGCUGGAAUGGACAGAUGACUUGGAGAUGUUUAUAUUGAAGGGUUAUGGUAAAUCAAUAAACUAUCGAAUGGGAGUGCCAUUGCUUAAAGAUGUUGUUCAUUCCAUGGAGCAAGCCAUUAAGGCACAAGAAGGUAAUACACGUCAUCAAAGGAUUGUGUGUAUAUGUAGUCUUCUUUUGUAUUUUAUGCCAUGUCUGGUGCGCUUGCCUUUAAGUCUUAUUGCUGCACAUCUCUUUUGGAUGGAGAAGGCUUGAAGCCUUGGAACAUUCAUGUAUGUUUCUAAAUUUGUAUAUUAUGUUUAUUUUGAGAUUUGACUUUAGCAACUGUCAAUAAUUAGGAUAUGAUUAGUUAUUUCUAGCUUAUCAAAAAAAAGGGGGGGGAUGUGAUUAGUUAUUGAUUUUGCAUUUUUAAUGAAAAAGAGAGAAGAGGGGGGGAAACUAUAUUUCUGUUAAAUUUUCAUGUUGCAGCUUUCAUUGGCUGCUAUAUUUAGUUUGUAUUAUUUUUCCCCAGAUAUCUGUGUUUUGCAUUCUAAGAAAUAGGGAAAUCUAGUAAUUUGAAGUCUUUUACAUAGCUAGCUUGAAAUUAGGGGGAAGCAAUGGUAAAAUUUUCCUUCUCUACUAAUGGUCACCUUGUAAAAGGAUAUUUUGCCAAUGACCUCUUAUUUAGUCUAGAGCUCUAUUUUUACUGCAUUCUGUUCGUUUAGAACAACUUGCUCCUGGAAGUUACGAAAAGGCAAGACUACGGUUUGCACAUGCAGAGACGCUGGUUCCUUUCACAUGUCUACUUGGUCUUUUCCUUGAACGAUCAGAAUUUGAAAAUAUACAGAGAGAACAACCUUUGGAACUUCCUCGAAGGCCUCCCCACAGUAGAAAUUGGUGGGGCAGCAUGGUAGCACCUUUUGCCGGCAACAACUUACUGGUCCUUCACAGUUGUCCAGCAAAUCCUUCAAGCAAGUACUUCAUCCAAGUACUCCACAAUGAACGUCCCAUUACAAUGCCAGGUUGCAAUAAUUCUGAUUUCUGUCCAUUUGAAGAGUUUAAGGAAAUGAUAGUUGCUCCUCAUUUAAAGCAUGACUAUAAUACAAUCUGCACUAAGAAACUGGAACAACCAGAGCAGAAGUUUGAAACUAGUAAGUUAUUGCUACUGUUUCAUUGGCUCUUCUCAUUGGGGAGAGAUGAGACAGAGUCUACCAAAGCUGAUUUAUAGUUUGUUAUUCAAGAAACAAAUGGAGAACCAUUCUUACAUGAUACUUUUUCCUUAUUGGCACUCCAUUAUUUAUGUAAUUUUCAGCCAAUGGCAGCUCUUCCUUUUAGCAGAGUUCCACCUGGAUUGGUCCUAUCGUCAAUAUCGACAUUACUUCUCUGACUGCACAAGUUCACCGACCUCACUUCAUAUUCAGAUAUGGUAGUUUGCUUUGAUACUUCUGAGGCAGCACUUGAACACGUUACUCCUUUCAUCUUGAUAUGUUGUGCUCCUUGUAAAUCACAUAUCUAUCCAGACUGGCUAGUGGCUUUUGGAUCAACCUUUUUCUUGCACUGACUAGAACUUCCAUUGAUUUUCUAGAAUAAUGAAUUAACAAAC
This 3587-nucleotide unclassified non-coding RNA is filed under the name Hevea brasiliensis (rubber tree). Lineage: Eukaryota; Viridiplantae; Streptophyta; Magnoliopsida; Malpighiales; Euphorbiaceae. The record is from RNAcentral.